GAUGAACGCUGGCGGCGUGCCUAAUACAUGCAAGUCGAGCGAACAGACGAGGAGCUUGCUCCUCUGACGUUAGCGGCGGACGGGUGAGUAACACGUGGAUAACCUACCUAUAAGACUGGGAUAACUUCGGGAAACCGGAGCUAAUACCGGAUAAUAUAUUGAACCGCAGGGUUCAAUAGUGAAAGACGGUUUUGCUGUCACUUAUAGAUGGAUCCGCGCCGCAUUAGCUAGUUGGUAAGGUAACGGCUUACCAAGGCAACGAUGCGUAGCCGACCUGAGAGGGUGAUCGGCCACACUGGAACUGAGACACGGUCCAGACUCCUACGGGAGGCAGCAGUGGGGAAUCUUGCGCAAUGGGCGAAAGCCUGACCGAGCAACGCCGCGUGAGUGAUGAAGGUCUUCGGAUCGUAAAACUCUGUUAUUUGGGAAGAACAAAUGUGUAAGUAACUAUGCACGUCUUGACGGUACCUAAUCAGAAAGCCACGGCUAACUACGUG
This 497-nucleotide ribosomal RNA is filed under the name uncultured bacterium. RNAcentral's name for it is "partial 16S ribosomal RNA". It matches the Rfam family "Bacterial small subunit ribosomal RNA", at positions 28 to 507 of the family's 1533-position model. The record is from RNAcentral.